UCCUAGCCUUAGUCAUCAGUUCUUGUUUGA
RNAcentral lists this non-coding RNA (30 nucleotides) under Mus musculus (house mouse). The record is from RNAcentral. Lineage: Eukaryota; Metazoa; Chordata; Mammalia; Rodentia; Muridae.